RNAcentral lists this ribosomal RNA (427 nucleotides) under Ophiotaenia gallardi. Its description in RNAcentral is "partial 16S ribosomal RNA". It matches the Rfam family "Bacterial large subunit ribosomal RNA", at positions 1831 to 2599 of the family's 2925-position model. The record is from RNAcentral. Lineage: Eukaryota; Metazoa; Platyhelminthes; Cestoda; Proteocephalidea; Proteocephalidae.
UUCCAUAUAAAAAUUUUUAUGGUAGGACCUGCUCUAUGCAUUAAUUUGUAAAUGGCCGCAGUAUUUUGACUGUGCGAAGGUAGCAUAAUUAAUUGCCUUAUAAUUGAAGGCUUGUUUGAAUGGUUUGACGUGGUGAUUAUAAAUAUUUAUUUUUUUGUUGAAUUUAGUUUGGAGUGCACAGAAACCUCCUGAUUUAAUUAGACGGAAAGACCCCAGGAUCUUUUAUUUUUGUCUGGGGCAGAUAAAAAUUUUUUAUUUUUAUUGAGACCCUUUAUGGUUUAGUGGUUUAAGUUACCCUGGGGAUAACAGUGUAAUAGUUUACUAGAGAUCUUAUCGAAUAAACUGUUUGCUACCUCGAUGUUGACUUAGGUAAAUAAGUUAGGCGCAGUAGUUUAAUUUUUUGGUCUGUUCGACCAUAUAUACCUCC